ACGAACGCUGGCGGCGUGCUUAACACCUGCAAGUCGAACGGAAAGGCCCCUUUGGGGGUACUCGAGUGGCGAACGGGUGAGUAACACGUGAGUAACCUGCCCUUGACUUCGGGAUAACUUCAGGAAACUGGGGCUAAUACCGGAUAGGAAUCCUUGCUGCAUGGUGGGGGUUGGAAAGCUUCGGCGGUUUUGGAUGGACUCGCGGCUUAUCAGCUUGUUGGUGGGGUAGUGGCUUACCAAGGCUUUGACGGGUAGCCGGCCUGAGAGGGCGACCGGCCACAGUGGGACUGAGAUACGGCCCAGACUCCGACGGGAGGCAGCAGUGGGGAAUAUUGCACAAGGGGCGGAAGCCUGAUGCAGCAACGCCGCGGGCGGGAUGACGGCCUUCGGGUUGUAAACCGCUUUCAGCAGGGGCGAAGCUUGUGGUGACGGUACCUGCAGAAGAAGCACCGGCUAACUACGUG
This 464-nucleotide ribosomal RNA is filed under the name uncultured bacterium. RNAcentral describes it as "partial 16S ribosomal RNA". It matches the Rfam family "Bacterial small subunit ribosomal RNA", at positions 29 to 507 of the family's 1533-position model. The record is from RNAcentral.